Molecule: ribosomal RNA, 253 nt
Filed under: uncultured bacterium
Lineage: Bacteria
Description: partial 16S ribosomal RNA
Rfam family: Bacterial small subunit ribosomal RNA
Source: RNAcentral
UACGGGGGGAGCAAGCGUUGCUCGGAAUCACUGGGCGUAAAGGGUGCGUAGGCGGGGAGGUAAGUCGGGUGUGAAAUCCCUCGGCCCAACCGAGGAACUGCGCCCGAGACUGCUUCUCUUGAGUCCCGGAGAGGAAGGUGGAAUUCCCGGUGUAGCGGUGAAAUGUGUAGAGAUCGGGAGGAACACCGGUGGCGAAGGCGGCCUUCUGGACGGUGACUGACGCUGAGGCGCGAAAGCGUGGGGAGCGAACAGG